GAUUUAUAAAGAAGCGUGGAGAGACAGGCUCUAUGAAGCGCUAGCAACCGGCCACUCAAGGUGGUAAGGUGCUAAAUCCUGAUCCGUCGGUUGGCGGAGAAUAUAAAUU
Molecule: non-coding RNA, 109 nt
Filed under: Imperialibacter sp. EC-SDR9
Lineage: Bacteria; Pseudomonadati; Bacteroidota; Cytophagia; Cytophagales; Flammeovirgaceae
Also listed under: 2 other names
Description: SAM riboswitch aptamer (S box leader)
Rfam family: SAM riboswitch aptamer (S box leader)
About the family: The SAM riboswitch is found upstream of a number of genes which code for proteins involved in methionine or cysteine biosynthesis in Gram-positive bacteria. The SAM riboswitch acts at the level of transcription termination control. The predicted structure consists of a complex stem-loop region followed by a single stem loop terminator region.
Source: Rfam by way of RNAcentral